AAUGCGAUAAGUAAUGUGAAUUGCAGAAUUCCGUGAAUCAUCGAAUCUUUGAACGCACAUUGCGCCCUCUGGUAUUCCGGGGGGCAUGCCUGUCCGAGCGUCAUUGCUGCCCUCAAGCACGGCUUGUGUGUUGGGCUUCCGUCCCUGGCAACGGGGACGGGCCCAAAAGGCAGUGGCGGCACCAUGUCUGGUCCUCGAGCGUAUGGGGCUUUGUCACCCGCUCCCGUAGGUCCAGCUGGCAGCUAGCCUCGCAACCAAUCUUUUUAACCAGGUUGACCUCGGAUCAGGUAGGGAUACCCGCUGAACUUAAGC
Molecule: unclassified non-coding RNA, 312 nt
Filed under: plant metagenome
Description: partial contains 5.8S ribosomal RNA, internal transcribed spacer 2, and large subunit ribosomal RNA
Rfam family: 5.8S ribosomal RNA (bases 1-103)
Source: RNAcentral